Molecule: ribosomal RNA, 275 nt
Filed under: uncultured bacterium
Lineage: Bacteria
Description: partial 16S ribosomal RNA
Rfam family: Bacterial small subunit ribosomal RNA
Source: RNAcentral
CCUACGGGUGGCUGCAGUGGGGAAUUUUGGACAAUGGGCGCAAGCCUGAUCCAGCAAUGCCGCGUGCAGGAUGAAGGCCUUCGGGUUGUAAACUGCUUUUGUACGGAACGAAAAGGCUUUCUCUAAUACGGGGAGCUGAUGACGGUACCGUAAGAAUAAGCACCGGCUAACUACGUGCCAGCAGCCGCGGUAAUACGUAGGGUGCGAGCGUUAAUCGGAAUUACUGGGCGUAAAGCGUGCGCAGGCGGUGAUGUAAGACAGAUGUGAAAUCCCCG